RNAcentral lists this ribosomal RNA (400 nucleotides) under uncultured bacterium. Its description in RNAcentral is "bacterial SSU rRNA". It matches the Rfam family "Bacterial small subunit ribosomal RNA", at positions 355 to 747 of the family's 1533-position model. The record is from RNAcentral.
UGGGGAAUUUUGGACAAUGGGCGAAAGCCUGAUCCAGCAAUGCCGCGUGCAGGAAGAAUGCCUUAGGGUUGUAAACUGCUUUUGUACAGAAAGAAAAGAUUCAAGCUAAUACCUUGAAUUUAUGACGGUACUGUAAGAAUAAGCACCGGCUAACUACGUGCCAGCAGCCGCGGUAAUACGUAGGGUGCAAGCGUUAAUCGGAAUUACUGGGCGUAAAGCGUGCGCAGGUGGUUUUGUAAGACAGGCGUGAAAUUCCCGGGCUCAACCUGGGGAUUGCGCUUGUGACUGCAAGGCUAGAGUGUGGCAGAGGGAGAUAGAAUUCCGCGUGUAGCAGUGAAAUGCGUAGAUAUGCGGAGGAAUACCGAUGGCGAAGGCAGUCUCCUGGGCCUACACUGACGCU